UCACUAAGCAAGCUCCUCCCCGUCAACAUGACUGCUUCACCGGGGGAGGGGCAUUUUCGUCAUUUCUUGUUUGUCUAGGCUGUGUCAAUUUCUAGCAACGCCACGUUGAUUGCAGAUGUAUAUAGCCAGAUUUUGUGGAUGUUUCUCUUAGCGUCCAUGGCUAUACAUAUCGCUAAAUUGCUGGUUUAGCUGAUUAUCAUCUUCGUUAUCAUUACCUUCUUUUGCGUUUCGCCGUGAUGCUGAAAUAAAAUUCAAUCGGCAUAAGAGAUAUAACAAAAUUUCUCCAAUUAAAAAAGAGGCAUUAUUAUUGCAACGGUGCACCAGAGAACUCGAUUCAAGGAAGCGUGUUGCACAAGUUAAUGCAUUGAAUACUUCAACGACAUCAAUAUUUUUUGCAUCUAAUUCAACAUCUCAACAAAACAAACCUCUCAUAAUAAGGGAUGUUUGUGUUACGACAACACAAGUUAAUAUAUCAUCGGGCACUUCUACUAAAGGGAAAAGUUUGCUUCAGCCUUUUUGCAUCUUCGAGACAGGCAGGUAUAAUCAUAUUUUCUCUAUUAACAUACUAUUGCCAUCAUGCAUUUACUCAUGUAAUUCAUAAUUGGUCUUAUAUUAGGUUCUAGAUCACAUACAUCUAAUGACCAAUGUAGACUUGCUUGGGGAAAUAUAACAAACAAAGGUUUGUAUUUGUGUCGACAUACAACAAUAUUUAUUGCUAUUUCUUUAACUCUAAAUUGAUUUUUAACUUUUUCUGCACUAUCCAGGACAUAAGAUUAAUAGAGGUCGUCACAUUAAUGUCAAUAUGUUACAAACCGAAUAUAUAGUUCUGAAAGUUGUGCUAAAUUGUAAAUUUGUGGUGCAAAAAGAUUCUAAUACGAACCACCUACAUUUUGUUGUGUAAUGGUUCAAUUAAGCUCACAACACAUAAAAUGCCUACUGAACUACGACAUUUAUUCUUAGAUACUUCUGAAGAGUCUCAACAUUUUAGAACAUAUGUUAGAAAAUACAAUAAUAUGUUAGCUUUGGCUAAAAUAUAUCAUGGUAUUUAUACCUUUAGAGUUCAAGAAAAAAUAUACCACUUUAUUGACGAUUUAUACCCAACAACUGGAAAAGGAAAAAAACUUGCAACUAUAUUUUUAUGACAAUGAAAAUGAAAUGACAAAUAGAAUUGGUUGUUCGACUGGAAUUUCAGAAAUAAUAGUCAGAAAAUUGAUGAGUAUUUUAAAAAUUAAUCUGUAUUCUUUUUUCCUUAAAUCUCUAUCUGAUGUUCCAGAACUGUCACACUUUUACACUGCAUUGAAAUGUGAUUGGUUUAGAUCAACGUGUAUAUAAACUUCCUACUUCAUCUGAAAUUUCAGCAAUAUGGGUUGAUGGAGAUGUGUAUUCUAUCUCCGCACAUCAUAUUCGAAUUUAUACUCACAAUAAUCAAAGACAAUUAGUUAAUUGUUAUUACGGAUGUUAUGAACCCUUGCAGUACCCAUUAUUAUUUCCAUAUGGUCAAAAUGGCUAGCAUUGUGGUAUGAAAAAAUACAACCACAUAAUAGUAUCACACAUUGUGCUCCCUGUGAACAUGAACACUUACCAAGUGUUAAAAAUAUGUGUUCAAUAGAUAACUUUCUUGAUAUGGAAGCUCAAAUACUCAAACAACAAAAGAAAAAAAAGGAAUACUAUCUCUUAUCGUGAAUAUUAUUGCUACAAAAUUCAAAUGAAAAAUAAUGAAAAUGAUGAACUCUUACAUACUGGAAGAGCAUUCCAACAAUAUAUUGACAUGUUCUGAAAACUUGAAUCACAAAGACUGGACUUCUUUUUCUUCAAUCCAGAAGUAUUUCGAAUGGAAGUUUUGCAAGGUCUUCUUGAUGUCUUAAGACAUGGUGAAAGAGAUGCUAUAAAAAUUGGAAAAUAGAUAUUCCUUCCAGUUACAUUUACGGGAGGACCAAGAGGACCCAAGAGACAUACGUUGGCGUUAUCUUGAUGCUAUUGCUUUAGUCCAACGUCUAAGAAAACCUGAUUUAUUUUUAACAAUGAUAUGUAAUCCAACAUGGCCAGAAAUAAAGGAACAUUUGUUACCUACUGACAAAGCACAAAACAGACCUGAUUUAAUUAGUAGAGUAUUUAGAGCAAACGUUGAGGAAAUACAAGCUAACAUACUAAAGAGAAACGUAUUUGGAAAGGUUGUUGCUUUCAUUUACAGUAUAGAAUUUCAGAAACGCAGUCUCCCACGUGUAUAUUUUCUUAUAAUUCUUGCUAAUGAAUACAAAUUGUUGACACCUGAGUCCUGUGACAAAUUUAUUCGUGUUGAAUUACCUGAUUCUAAUAGAGAGGUUUACUUACAUUCAGUUGUUGUCCGUCAUUGUGGCCACUUAAAUCCUACAAAUCCAUGUAUGAAAAGUGGAUAUUGUAAAUUUCACUGUCCUAGAGAUUUUGCUGAACGAACUUCAAAAGGAAAAAACUCAUAUCCAACUUAUAAGAGGCAACAAUCGGGACAUACUACAAAGGUUAGAGAACAAUUUCUCGAUAAUUCUUGGGUAGUACCAUACAAUCCAUUUUUACUUCAUAAAUUUUUAAUUGUCAUAUGAAUGUAGAAAUAUGCUCUAACAUCAAAGUAAUGAAGUAUCUUUACAAAUAUAUUUGCAAAGGACACAAUAAAAUUGCUUUUUAUAUGCACGAGUAUGAUAAACAAAUAGAAAUUGAUGAAAUAAAAGUGUAUCAAUCUGCUCGGUGGGUAUCUCCGCCCGAAGCUACAUGGCGCUUAUUUGAUUUUUCUAUUAGUGAGAUGACACCAAGUGUUUACCAUCUUCAAUUGCAUCUUGAAGACCAACAAUAUGUUUCUUUUAAAAGUGCUCAAAGUAUAAAUUCAAUUAUAAGAAAUCCAAUGAUUAGAAAAACAAUGCUAACCGAAUUUUUUGUAAUGAACCAAACAAAUAAAGAUGCUAAAGAACUUAAACUACUAUACAAAGAAUUCCCUGAAUAUUUUGUAUGGUCAAACACAUAUAAAAUGUGGACACGUCGAAAACAAUGUUCAGUUAUCGAACGUAUUGUGACGUCAUCUAAUAGAAGGAGAAAGAUAUUAUCUCAGAUUGUUAUAAUGAAUGUACGAGUGCCAGAGUCAUAUAGAGAUCUUCGUAAAGUCAACAUAUUGUUCUACUUUUAGAGAAUCAACAGAAAAAAAGGAAUUACUACAUUCUGAUAACAGUUUGAUUGACUGUAUGACUGAAGCUGUGAGUUACCAAUUACCAUAUAGUUUGAGAUGAUUAUUCACUAUGUUAUUAGUGUAUUAUAAUCCUACUAAUUCUAAAGAAUUAUGGGAACAAUUUGAUGACUCUAUGUCAGAAGAUUUUAAAAACUUGGGAAAUAUUGAACUUAAAGAUAUUUGCCGUCGAGUUUUGGACCAUAUUAAAGAUGAAUUACACUCGAUGGGACAUGAUAUUAAUGAGUACAAGCUUGUUCUAGAAAAUAUUAAAGCCUCUGCGAUUACCAAAGAAGCAAAAGAUGUUCAGUUUGAGAGAAAUAUAAAAGUUUGCGAAGAGGAUUUAUUAUUAGAAAAUAAAUUUAAUAUUGAACAAAGAAGAGCUUAUACCGUAAUAAUUGAUAGAGUUUUUCAAAUAGAGCAGCAGCUUUCUUUAUUCAUGGAACCGGAGGAACUGGUAAUAGUUUCUUAAAUCAAAGUCUAUUAGCAACGAUAAGAUCAAAAGCAUUUGUUGCAUUAGCAACUGCAAGUUCUGGUGUCUCAACCUCUAUUCUUCUUAAAGAACGAACAACUCAUUCACGCUUUAAAAUACCUAUUGAUGUUGAUGAAAAUAUUAGUUGCAAUAUCAACAAACAAAGUUCACUUGCUUCUUUGAUUCGAGAUGCAAAAUUAUUUGUAUGGGAUGAAGCAUUAAUGCCUAAAGGAAAAAUUAUUAAAGCUUUUGAUUUACUUUUGAAAGAUCUCAUGGAUAUGAGGAUGCCCUUUGGUGGAAAAGUUGUUUUAGGUGGUGAUUUUAGACAAACUCUUCCUGUUGUGAGAAAUGGAAAAAAAGAAGACUUCAUUUCACAAACCUUAUUAUACUCACAAAUUUGGAACCAACUAGAAAAAUUGCACCUAUCAGAGAAUAUGCAUGCAAGAACAGAUCCAGCUUUUUCUGAGUACCUAAUAAGGAUUGGAAAUGGAAAGAAAAACAUAACUCCAGCGACAAAGUUGAAAUUCCCAAAUCUUUGCUCAUUUCUUUUACUACCGAAGAACAAUCUCUUGAUGAAUUAUUCAAGGUAACAUAUUCUAACAUAAAUUCGUUAUUUCAUAACUCUUAUGCUUUAGAUUCCCGUAUUAUUUUAACAAAAAAAAAUGAUUAUGUUCAUGAAAUAAAUGUUAUGCUUAUAUCAAAAUUUUCAAAUACUGCAAAAAUAUUUGUUGAGAUUGAUGAAACUAUUGAACCAAAUGAUCAAAGUCAAUUUGAAGAUUAUCUACAUACUAUAAAGCCCGCUAAUUUUCCACCUUACAAAUUAACUUUAAAAGAAAAUUGCCCAGUGAUGUUACUACGAAACUUAAAUCCUUCUGAAGGUUUAUGUAAUGGUACACAAUUAAUGUGCUGUAAUUUUAAAACACAUGUUACAAGUGCUAAUAUUGCUAGCGGUGAUUUUCAAAUAAACAUGUAUUUAUUCCUCGCAUACCACUAUCAGCUUCAGCAGAUGAGAACUUUUCGGUUCCUUUCAAGAGAACACAGUUUCCAAUACGAUUAUGUUUUGCUAUGACUAUAAAUAAAGCUCAAGAUCAAACUUUAGACUAUAUUGGAAUUUAUUUGUGUGAGCCUGUUUUUUCCCAUGAUUAGCUUUAUGUGUUGUCUAGAGCUAAAAGUUCAAAAGGUGUAAAGUUGUUGAUUAGGUCAUUGACAUCAGAUAACAAAGAUGAUCACUCAACAUACAACGUUGUUUAUGAUGAAAUUAUCAAAAAAGCAUUCAGUUAACUAACAACAUAAGAAUUUUUAUUUUUAAUAUACUUGUCGUGAAAUAUAUUAACUAAUGUCUUCAAGUAUGUACUGCUUAUGUUGCUUCCACUUGUUGAUCCCUUCCUAUUUCAUUAGCAAGCUUUCGCAAAAGAAAUUGUUUCCCCUGAAGUUUUAGGUACGCUGCUUAUACAAUUAUCAAGUGAGAUUUUAAUUUAAAUAAUAUUGUCUUUAAAUGCUUUGAAUGUUCCAUGGAAGAUUAGACUUUUUUUUAAUUCUUCCUGUAUUCAAUUCAUGAACAGAUAAGUUCAGUAAAUGCGAGAAAUCAAAAUAUAAGUUGAAAAUGCUCUAAGAGGCACCUUCGAUUACAAAUUGAUUGAGGUGUUGCUGUCACGGUUCAAAUUUUGGUAAUACAGAUGCAACAACAAAGGAUUGCAGUUACGCCUUAUUUAUGUGAUAGUUUCUCAUACUAUUUUUAUCAACUGGCUUGUUUCCCCUACCACAUGAUAGAGACUACUUGGAAGCAGUUGGCCAUUGUCCUACUGGCUUGUCAAUUAGGAGCUAUUUUGAUUCUCUCAAAUAAAACAAAGUAGUACAUGUUCAAUCUUUAUCAUAUCCGCUAAAACGUGUAACGUCUGCCCUCAUUUCAGAAUAAGAAGAAGAAAGAGUAGACUGCACAUUUGGUUUAUCCACUUAACCCAUUUUUCGUUAUAAUAAACUUCUUUCUCGCUAUGUCAAUUGUAACAUACCAUCAAUUACAAGAUCAACAAACUUUGAUGAAAUGGCUUCCUCUUGAAGUUAACCCCAAUGUCAUUAAUUAGCUAAGGAAUUGCUUUAGCUUUGAUAUGUUCUUCGAGACUGAUGUAAGGAGAUUUGGGGAUGGAGGAAUUUUCAUUGGUAACUUGAGAAGUCCUAUUGAUGAAGUAAUACCCAGAUUGGAGAAGAAAUUAUCAGAGGUUGCUGGAAGGGAGGUCAUCCAGUGAUUUAUGGAGGAAAAGACGAAUAAUAUUGUAAAGAAGGUAUGCUGUAGAUGUUUAAAAAGAUACUACUUUUGAUUGUUUCGUUAUGCAGUGUUAACGCUUGAGGCUUUUGCGAAUGGGCUACAUUACGGUUAGUUGACCCCUUUUUAUUAGUAAGGUAUAGGUUGGUUGGGGAAAACUUGCUUUCCCUAUUUGAAAAAAGGAGAUCUGUGUUAUCAACUAGAAUUUGCAACUAUUGCACCAUACAUAACUCCAGAUUUCACUUUUGUAAUUUUUACAUGUAUGGAUUGUGGAGAAAGCAUGAAAUUUAGGAAGGAGGAUAGUGAUGUAGAUCAGUAUCUCAACCUAUUGGAUCCAGAAAAGUUUAAUGAACCUUCAAAUUAAUUCCAUUCAUUACAGUAUAUAUUCUAUGACAGUUCCCAUGAAAUUCAUUUAUUUAUGUGGGACAAAAAACUAACUUAUGUCAUUUCAGAUGGUUUUAGUAAUAUUCCAUUUGGUUGCCUGAAUGAAAAAUACUGUUCACUAGAGGCCCGGGAAAUAAAGAGAAGAUGUGUACGAACGAGAUGUCCAGCAACAAGAAGGAAAAGGAUUGAAUAGAGGAACUCCUGAACAUUUGGAAUUAUGAAAUCAAUUAUUUUGUUGCUUUGUUUUUCUUAUUCUUACAGCAUGAUAUGGACUUUUCGAAGCACAUAGAGAGGACUUACAUCCCUUUAUCAAUUAUUUUGUUGCUUUUUUUUCU
Capsicum annuum is the source of this 6638-nucleotide RNA transcript. RefSeq lists it as uncharacterized. NCBI's taxonomy places the organism in Eukaryota, Viridiplantae, Streptophyta, Magnoliopsida, Solanales, Solanaceae. The record is from RefSeq and is a predicted model, not a curated record. The transcript is spliced from 5 exons.